This 634-nucleotide ribosomal RNA is filed under the name Sporobolus splendens. RNAcentral's name for it is "eukaryotic LSU rRNA". The stretch from base 241 to 396 matches the Rfam family "5.8S ribosomal RNA". The record is from RNAcentral. Lineage: Eukaryota; Viridiplantae; Streptophyta; Magnoliopsida; Poales; Poaceae.
ACCUGCGGAAGGAUCAUUGUCGUGACCCUAACAAAAUAGACUGUGAAUAUGUCAUCCAUUCCGUCGGGUGACGGUCCUUGCACCGUCUCCCGACAUAGGCCCUUGUCCUUCUGAUGGAGGGGAGGGCCCCAAAAGAACCCACGGCGCCGAAUGGCGUCAAGGAACACUGAUGUUGCUUGCACAGGACAACGGUUGGCCUGCUGAACGAGCCCUGUGUUGCGAUGCUACCUGAAUCCAUAAGACUCUCGGCAACGGAUAUCUUGGCUCUCGCAUCGAUGAAGAACGUAGCAAAAUGCGAUACCUGGUGUGAAUUGCAGAAUCCCGUGAACCAUCGAGUUUUUGAACGCAAGUUGCGCCUGAGGCCUCUUGGUCGAGGGCACGUCUGCUUGGGCGUCACAACAAAAGACACUCUCCCUGGUGCGGGAUGUGGCGUUUGGCCUUCCAUUCUAGUUGUAAGGUGUGGUAGGCUAAAGUAAGUGGCUGCUGGCUAUGGUGCCAGUCACAGCACUUGGUGGACGACACAUGUUGUUCUCGGAGUUGUGACUUGUACUGCUUUCGGCGACAUUGGCCCCUUGGACCCAUGGAUGGAGCAUCGAUUGCUUCCACCGCGACCCCAGGUCANUCGNAUUACCCG